CAGCAGCCACGGUAAUACGAAGGGGGCUAGCGUUGUUCGGAAUUACUGGGCGUAAAGGGCGCGUAGGCGGCCAUUCAAGUUAGAUGUGAAAGCCCUGGGCUCAACCUAGGAAUUGCAUUUGAUACUGUUUGGCUUGAGUUCGGGAUAGGUGAGUGGAAUUCCCAGUGUAGAGGUGAAAUUCGUAGAUAUUGGGAAGAACACCAGUGGCGAAGGCGGCUCACUGGACCGACACUGACGCUGAGGCGCGAAAGCGUGGGGAGCAAACAGGAUUAGAUACCCCUGUAGUCCCUGUCUCUUAUAC
RNAcentral lists this ribosomal RNA (301 nucleotides) under uncultured bacterium. RNAcentral's name for it is "partial 16S ribosomal RNA". It matches the Rfam family "Bacterial small subunit ribosomal RNA", at positions 509 to 807 of the family's 1533-position model. The record is from RNAcentral.